AUGGCUGCUCCAACGCCGCUCCGUCACGUGGCCAUGCUCCCCUUCAUGGCCAAAGGCCACGCCAUGCCACUCCUACACCUCGCGUGCCUCCUCCUCGGCAGCCGCGUCGCCUCCGCCGUCACCUUCUUCACCACCCCACGCAACGCGCCCUUCAUCCGCGCCGGGUUAGUCGGCACCGGCGCCGCUGACAUCGUCGAGCUUCCGUUCCCCUCUGAGGACGCCCCGCAGAGCACGGACGAGCUCCCGUCCUUGACGCAUCUCGUCGACUUCGUUUCCGUGGUGGCGGCGCUCGGCCCUGCGUUCGCGGACGCGCUCACCGCGCUCGAGCCCAGGCCGGACAUGCUCGUCCACGACGGCUUCAUCGUGUGGGCCAAGGACGUCGCCGACAAGCUCGGCAUGCCGCUGCUCAUCACCCUCGGCAUCGGCGGCUUCACCUUGUACGUCUACGGGGCGGUCAUGACGCACAAGCCACAGGCACUCCUGAGCUCGCCGACCGAGCCGUUCCCGGUCCCCGCCUUGCCAGACCUCUGCAUCACCAUGGCCGACCUCGGCCGGCCCUUCGACGUCCCGGAGCCGGCCGGCCCGCACUGGUACUUCGUGUGCGAGAGCUGCAACAACAUGUACUCCAGCAGGGGCAUCAUCGCCAACUCCUUCAGCGAGCUCGAGUCGGUCUACAUUGACCUGUGGAACAAGAACCGGGGGUUCGACAUCAAGAUGUGGCCGAUCGGACCGCUCUGUCUUGCGGUCCCCAAACCGGCAGUCCAGAGCAAAGACGACCGUGAGAUCUCGGACUGGCUGGACUCGAGGCUCGCCAUGGACCGGCCGGUCCUCUACGUCGCGUUCGGCUCACAGGCCGAGCUGAGCCGGGCGCAGCUUGAGGAGAUCGCCGUCGGGUUAGACCACUCCGGCGUAGACUUCCUAUGGGUGGUCCGGUCCAAAUGGUUCGACAAGGGGAUCGGUUUUGUUAGAUAA
This 972-nucleotide ribosomal RNA is filed under the name Triticum aestivum (bread wheat). RNAcentral describes it as "partial small subunit ribosomal RNA". Lineage: Eukaryota; Viridiplantae; Streptophyta; Magnoliopsida; Poales; Poaceae. The record is from RNAcentral.